Molecule: ribosomal RNA, 473 nt
Filed under: uncultured organism
Description: partial 16S ribosomal RNA
Rfam family: Bacterial small subunit ribosomal RNA
Source: RNAcentral
UACACUCCUACGGGAGGCAGCAGUGGGGAAUAUUGCACAAUGGGCGCAAGCCUGAUGCAGCCAUGCCGCGUGUAUGAAGAAGGCCUUCGGGUUGUAAAGUACUUUCAGCGGGGAGGAAGGCGAUAAGGUUAAUAACCUUGUUGAUUGACGUUACCCGCAGAAGAAGCACCGGCUAACUCCGUGCCAGCAGCCGCGGUAAUACGGAGGGUGCAAGCGUUAAUCGGAAUUACUGGGCGUAAAGCGCACGCAGGCGGUCUGUCAAGUCGGAUGUGAAAUCCCCGGGCUCAACCUGGGAACUGCAUUCGAAACUGGCAGGCUAGAGUCUUGUAGAGGGGGGUAGAAUUCCAGGUGGAGCGGUGAAAUGCGUAGAGAUCUGGAGGAAUACCGGUGGCGAAGGCGGCCCCCUGGACAAAGACUGACGCUCAGGUGCGAAAGCGUGGGGAGCAAACAGGAUUAGAAACCCUAGUAGUCCC